This 1382-nucleotide ribosomal RNA is filed under the name metagenome. RNAcentral's name for it is "bacterial LSU rRNA". It matches the Rfam family "Bacterial large subunit ribosomal RNA", at positions 1542 to 2925 of the family's 2925-position model. The record is from RNAcentral.
UGUUUCCCAUAAGGCUGAGCUGUGAUGGCGAGCGAAAUAUAGUAGCGAAGUUCCUGACUCCACACUGCCAAGAAAAGCCUCUAGCGAGGUGAGAGGUGCCCGUACCGCAAACCGACACAGGUAGGCGAGGAGAGAAUCCUAAGGUGAUCGAGAGAACUCUCGUUAAGGAACUCGGCAAAAUGACCCCGUAACUUCGGGAGAAGGGGUGCUCUGUUAGGGUGCAAGCCCGAGAGAGCCGCAGUGAAUAGGCCCAGGCGACUGUUUAGCAAAAACACAGGUCUCUGCGAAGCCGUAAGGCGAAGUAUAGGGGCUGACGCCUGCCCGGUGCUGGAAGGUUAAGAGGAGCGCUUAGCGUAAGCGAAGGUGCGAAUUGAAGCCCCAGUAAACGGCGGCCGUAACGAUAACGGUCCUAAGGUAGCGAAAUUCCUUGUCGGGUAAGUUCCGACCCGCACGAAAGGCGCAACGAUCUGGGCACUGUCUCAACGAGAGACUCGGUGAAAUUAUAGUACCUGUGAAGAUGCAGGUUACCCGCGACAGGACGGAAAGACCCCGUGGAGCUUUACUGCAGCCUGAUAUUGAAUGUUGGUACAGCUUGUACAGGAUAGGUAGGAGCCUUGGAAACCGGAGCGCCAGCUUUGGUGGAGGCAUCGGUGGGAUACUACCCUGGCUGUAUUGACCUUCUAACCCGCCGCCCUUAUCGGGCGGGGAGACAGUGUCAGGUGGGCAGUUUGACUGGGGCGGUCGCCUCCUAAAAGGUAACGGAGGCGCCCAAAGGUUCCCUCAGAAUGGUUGGAAAUCAUUCGCAGAGUGUAAAGGCACAAGGGAGCUUGACUGCGAGGCCUACAAGUCGAGCAGGGACGAAAGUCGGGCUUAGUGAUCCGGUGGUUCCGCAUGGAAGGGCCAUCGCUCAACGGAUAAAAGCUACCCCGGGGAUAACAGGCUUAUCUCCCCCAAGAGUCCACAUCGACGGGGAGGUUUGGCACCUCGAUGUCGGCUCAUCGCAUCCUGGGGCUGUAGUCGGUCCCAAGGGUUGGGCUGUUCGCCCAUUAAAGCGGUACGCGAGCUGGGUUCAGAACGUCGUGAGACAGUUCGGUCCCUAUCCGUCGCGGGCGCAGGAAAUUUGAGAGGAGCUGUCCUUAGUACGAGAGGACCGGGAUGGACGCACCGCUGGUGUACCAGUUGUUCUGCCAAGGGCAUCGCUGGGUAGCUAUGUGCGGACGGGAUAAGUGCUGAAAGCAUCUAAGCAUGAAGCCCCCCUCAAGAUGAGAUUUCCCAUUCCGCAAGGAAGUAAGAUCCCUGAAAGAUGAUCAGGUUGAUAGGUCUGAGGUGGAAGUGUGGCGACACAUGGAGCUGACAGAUACUAAUCGAUCGAGGACUUAACC